Molecule: long non-coding RNA, 2829 nt
Organism: Vespa velutina
Lineage: Eukaryota; Metazoa; Arthropoda; Insecta; Hymenoptera; Vespidae
Exons: 4
Source: RefSeq, a predicted model, not a curated record
UCAAGAGUUCCUACAAAAGGAAAAAUGUUUCGGUGUCAGCCAUACUGCCUCAUCAUAAAAUUCAUGCCUCAUGUUCAUAACACUUGAAAAAGAAUCACGAACAUCGGACACCAUGUUAAGAGCCAACAGUAUACAUACAGACUGAAAUAUCGGACAGUCUCUAAGGCCCUCGAUCAAGACAUGAUCCAGUUGAUUUCAAACGUGAUACAACAGAAUUCAGUGUGAACUUGAAUCCAAUAUCCAUGAAUCAGUAACAACGGCAAGUUAAACACAGAAGAUACAGAUGACAAAGGAACUCAUUCUGAACAAAAAAAUCAAAAUAACAACGGACAAAUGACGCCACGAAACAUUGCGACAGCUUCUUCCAUCGCACCAGCGUCAAUAACAGGAACAAUAGCAGGCAAUACUUCUGGUAUGUAGAACCUGUACAAUUAUAAUCAAUCACCAGGCUAUAACAGUAUAUUGCAUGACAAAUAUUAUUCGAUGAGUAAACUUAAAUUUGCGGCGUUCACCAAAAUUCGACCGGAUCUCUGGUUCAUCAUAGCUGAGGCUGAAUUCACUACUUUUGGAAUCGUUGAUGAUAAAGUAAAAUACCUGACGGUCCUUGAGGCCCUGAUUUCAGACAUGAUACAACAGGAGUUCGCUACAGUGAGUCAAUGCUCCCAAAUAGAACACCUUCUCAGCUACUGCGACAAAUACGCGAAUUGGCUGAUGGUUUCGCUGAUGAUACCAUAUUGCAACAACUUUGGCUUGAACGAAUACCAACAUAUAUCAAACCCUAUCUGAUUACCACAAGUAAACUUCCACUUGAUGCUAUAGCCGAGUAUGCGGGCCGUUUUUACAAGCUGAUGCCUUACGUUCAACAGAAUAACCAGGUUAUGUAUGGCAAUCUUUACACGCUAUUUUGCAUCACCGACUCUUUAUGACAUUGACUCGAAGUUCAUAGAUAUUAAAAAAUCUUUUGUGAUGGAGUUCAAUGAGUUCAUAUCACAAUUGAUUCUACUGCAACAACAAAACCAAAAACUGCAGGCUUGGCAAUCUCCGAAGCAUCAUAAUCGCACCAGUUCAAGAUCAUCGACACCUAUUCGUAAUAGAAUCUCCUAUUAUCACCAAAGUUUUGGCAGAGAAGCAAAACGCUGCCUUUUACCUUAUAAAUUCGCUUCUAUGACAACCUGACAACAACAAAUUAGGGAAACUAACGUCGCUGUCAUUUGUAAGAGCAGUAAAAGACAGCAACUCCAGACUAAAAGAGCUCGGACUACACUAUCAAACAGAAAUUCUUGAUUGACUCUGGAUCGGUCGUGUCCAUAAUAUCUGCAAAAAAGUUUCAUAAAAAUAGAAAUACCGACUCACACUUUAUGCUGCAACUUCAUUACAAAUAUACGGCACUAAAAUUAUCAACCUUGAUUUAAAUCUCCGCAGAGAUUUUUGCUGGUCCUUUAUCAUCGCAGACUGAAAUAGCAAUCAUCGUGUCUCAUCUCUUGUCAAAAGGUAAUGCAUUGGAAGCACAGCAUUACGGCAUCUCAUCUAUAAGUUCAGAUUUGUCCACUGAGUAUGCCGAACUUUUAAAACAAUUCGUUGAAAUCACUUGGUCGAUUAGCAAGACAUGCUGAAAUUUAAAAGCACGUCCAUUUGCGCACAAAAUUAUUACGCAUGGUCCAUUAGUCGUACUGCACGAGCACGUAAACUAGCAGGUGAAAAGGCAGCGGCGGCACAAACUCAAAUCAGAGAACUUCUGAACUCCGGAAUCAUUCAGCAGAAUAUACGCCAAUCCUAUUCAUCUGAUACGAUAGAUAGACAACACCUGGAGAACGCGCGGUGACUACAGUAAACUCAAUGAUGCUACUAAUCCUGACAUAUAGUUCUCCGCUCAAACUUUCUGUGUAUACACGAUAGAAAACAUUACAGCAAAAUCGACUGCGAAGAAGUAUAUCUACAACUACCUAUACACGUGGACAACAUUGAAAAACUGCUAUUAUAACACCUUGGGUUGAGUACUUAGAGACUUGGACUUCGUCUUCGUCUACGUGGAUUGCAUUCUGGUAUUCUCGGACGAUGAAGACUAAUAUCUGGAACACAUACACAUUGAACGCUUAAAAGACAACAACGUCGUUAUUAAUCUCAAAAACUUACUGUUCAACCAAAGAGUAAUAAACUUCCUGGGCUAUACCAUUAAUGAACAUGGUUACAUUACGACGUGCGAACGAGUUGAUGCCAUUAAAGGAUGUCAGAAACCUAAAACUAUCGCUGAACUUCGCAGAUUUCUCGGCAUGAUCAACUAUCCUUGCUGUAUACUUCAGGCAGUUCAGAUCAUGUUGCCUCACAUUUGGCGUGAUCCUUAAGGAUGCACUCAAAUGGUCUAGAGAAUAUCUUGCUUGCCAAAGAGGAAAAAUUCACCGUCACAAUAAGAUCAAGCCAAUCCACAUAGACAUACUUGAUAACCGCUUUAACAAUAUUCAUUUGGACAUCACCUUUCUACUGAAGGUCAAACACCACCGAUAUUGCUUAAUUCUUUCGCGACGGCACACCUAUUCCAAACUUUGUUGUCUUCCGCGAAAGCGCAGUAACACUUUGUCAGUAACACUUUGUAGCGAUCUCUACUCAUAAUUUUGCAAAAGAUGUCACUUCGCAAUAAUUUAUUUUUGCUUCAAUAUUCAUCAAUUGAUAAUUUCUUCUCUCUAGACAUUAGUAAGCAAACAGCGAUAAAACAGUACAGUUCGUCUUUGUCCCAGGUUCAGGAUUACUAUUAUCUCUUCUUCUCCAUUGAUUAGUUGUUUUUUUCAACAAUGAAAUCUUUCAAUUCCUGAGAUACGAAUAAUUUGAAAAAUC